This 945-nucleotide ribosomal RNA is filed under the name uncultured bacterium. RNAcentral's name for it is "bacterial SSU rRNA". It matches the Rfam family "Bacterial small subunit ribosomal RNA", at positions 8 to 986 of the family's 1533-position model. The record is from RNAcentral.
AGAGUUUGAUCCUGGCUCAGAAUCAACGCUGGCGGCGUGCCUAACACAUGCAAGUCGAACGAGAAAGUGGAGCAAUCCAUGAGUAAAGUGGCGACCGGGUGAGUAACACGUGACUAACCUGCCCUUGAGUGGGGGAUAACCUCGGGAAACCGGGGCUAAUACCGCAUAACAUCGCAAGAUCAAAGGAGCAAUCCGCUGAAGGAGGGGGUCGCGGCUGAUUAGCUAGUUGGUGAGGUAACGGCUCACCAAGGCGAAGAUCAGUAGCCGGCCUGAGAGGGCGCACGGCCACACUGGAACUGAAACACGGUCCAGACUCCUACGGGAGGCAGCAGUGGGGAAUUUUGCGCAAUGGGGGAAACCCUGACGCAGCAACGCCGCGUGGAGGAUGAAGUCCCUUGGGAUGUAAACUCCUUUCGAUCGGGACGAUUAUGACGGUACCGGAAGAAGAAGCACCGGCUAACUCUGUGCCAGCAGCCGCGGUAAUACAGAGGGUGCAAGCGUUGUUCGGAAUUAUUGGGCGUAAAGGGCGCGUAGGCGGUGCGGUAAGACUGUGGUGAAAUCUCCGGGCUCAACUCGGAAAUUGCCGCGGUGACUGCCGUGCUCGAGUGUGGGAGAGGUGAGUGGAAUUCCCGGUGUAGCGGUGAAAUGCGUAGAUAUCGGGAGGAACACCUGUGGCGAAAGCGGCUCACUGGACCACAACUGACGCUGACGCGCGAAAGCUAGGGGAGCAAACAGGAUUAGAUACCCUGGUAGUCCUAGCCCUAAACGAUGAUUGCUUGGUGUGUCGGGUACCCAAUCCCGACGUGCCGCAGCUAACGCGAUAAGCAAUCCGCCUGGGGAGUACGUCGCAGACUGAAACUCAAAGGAAUUGACGGGGCCCGCACAAGCGGUGGAGCAUGUGGUUCAAUUCGACCGCACGCGAAGAAACAUUACCUCGGCUCCGAG